AGAAGAAGGAGGGGAAACUGUGGUUGAAAUGUAAUAUCUGAGAGAAGAAUUUUAAAAAACGACACUCCACCCUCUGCAAAGAUUCUCCUCAACAACAGUUCUUUCUGAUAGGCUCCUGUAAUUUUCCACCAACAGUUGGUACCCAAGCUUCUUUUAAGCAGACACAACUUUCAUAUGCUCUAAAUGUGGGUAAACCAGUCGCAAAAGCCUUGUACUCUCACGUGUUUGGCUCCAGACAUGGGAAGGUAAAUUAAAAAGAAAUCAGCACUGAAGGAGAGAAUGAGGAAGUCAUAGAGUGCACACACCCAGUCUGGGCCAAGGGUGUGCACUGAAGAUAAGCCAGUCCUACCUGCCUGUCCUGAUGUACCCAGACCUGGAUCCAUGGGGUCUCUCUACAUAACGGAGGCUGUCCUGAGACUCUAAAUAUAGAUGAGGCUGGUCUUGAACUCAUGGAAAUCCACUUGCCUUUGCAUCCUGAGUGCUGGGAUUAAAGGUGGCUGAUGCUCCCAGGAAGAAGAUUCAGAAUCAGCCUCCAAGUGAGGUGUGGAUGUUCUCCAGCAACUGACGAGGACCCAGUAUUACCAAGAGUCCAUGUAUAGUUUUGUUAGUUACAGAAUAUUAACUAGGAUGUUUCCUCCGAGGGUUUUAACUGCAUGGUUUUUGCACAGGUUGGGACUUGAACUGAUUUUCUGAGGAAGCUGUUCAUCAAAGGCGUCUCCAUGAGCUAACCUUGAGUUUGAUUAUUCUCUGCAAUAAUCAAUAAGAGAACAGGACAGAAAAGUUUUUUUUGUUGUUGCUGUUGUUGUUGUUGUUACAAUUUCAGCUUACUAUACUAACUCACAGCCUGUUGUACCACCAGGGUGACCCUUCUGGAGAUUUCAGUACUUAGGUGACCACUGAUCAAACUUUAUACACUUGGAUUGCUUAACAGUGUAGCAACAUGUCCAUUCAAAAUGUUUUUAUUCAUCCAUCCAACUUGAUUGACAUUCAAACCAGCUAGUGACCCGGAGCUGGGAACACUGGCAUGGGAUGCCAGCCUUCCCACCAUCCAGCUCCCAUUGGUUUCCUCAAAUUCCAGUCCUUCCCCAAAGGAACAGAUGGAGCGAGGGUGAGAAUGUAGGAAGUGAUUUUUAAAAAGGUGGGGGAGGGGUGAGCUGAAAAGGGAUGCUAGCUAAGAGAGAACAAAGAGUCCCCAAAAACAUAAUGAUUAACAAACGUACCAUUGGGACCUAGAAUGAGAAGACAGGCCAGGAGUAGGGCAGGGCUGCCAGGGCCAGUUACUCAGAGCACUAUACAGCAAACAGACACCAGAUGAGCAGCCAGGAGUGCAAACACCAGAUCCAAGUUUACUUGUCUUCCUCAUGCCCUGGUGGAGAGACUUUGUCUAUCCCUACAAUCAGGCUUCCUUUACCAAUUCGAAGAAGCAUACAGCACAGUGGGUCUGAGUUUGAUCCCUGGUACCCACAUGAUAGGAGAGAACCAAGUCCUGCAAAUUGUCCUCUGACCCCCCCUCUCUCUCUCUCUCACACACACACACAUUCACAUACUCACACACA
Cricetulus griseus (Chinese hamster) is the source of this 1556-nucleotide non-coding RNA. NCBI's taxonomy places the organism in Eukaryota, Metazoa, Chordata, Mammalia, Rodentia, Cricetidae. The record is from RefSeq and is a predicted model, not a curated record.